UACGGGGGGGGCAAGCGUUGUUCGGAAUUACUGGGCGUAAAGGGCUCGUAGGCGGCCAACUAAGUCAGACGUGAAAUCCCUCGGCUUAACCGGGGAACUGCGUCUGAUACUGGAUGGCUUGAGUUUGGGAGAGGGAUGCGGAAUUCCAGGUGUAGCGGUGAAAUGCGUAGAUAUCAGGAGGAACACCAGCGGUGUAGACGGCUUUCUGGACCAUUGCUGACGCUGAGACACGAAAGCGUGGGUAGCAAACAGG
This 253-nucleotide ribosomal RNA is filed under the name uncultured bacterium. RNAcentral describes it as "partial 16S ribosomal RNA". It matches the Rfam family "Bacterial small subunit ribosomal RNA", at positions 524 to 776 of the family's 1533-position model. The record is from RNAcentral.